GGAGAGAUAGCUCAGUAGUUAAGAGCACUGGUUGCUUUUCCAGAAGACCUGGGUUCUAUUCCCAGCACCCCCA
Molecule: non-coding RNA, 73 nt
Organism: Cricetulus griseus (Chinese hamster)
Lineage: Eukaryota; Metazoa; Chordata; Mammalia; Rodentia; Cricetidae
Source: Rfam